AUGCUGUCAGCUUGCAAAGCUUCAGCCCGCUCCCCUGACAGCCUGGAAUGUCUGCCCUGCGCCUGCAGGGAGCACAGGGUCCCAGGCCAUUCAGCAGGCUGGGGAUGGUUCCGUCUGGCCCAGAAGAUGCGCUGGUCUGAGAGCCAUCAGCUGCUUCCCGGGGGAAGCGAGGAGGGAUCUCAGCUCGUCUCGGUUCUGAUCGAUCACCAAGAACGAGGCAGGCCUGCAUCUUCCUGCCUGAAGUGGGAGCAGACACUGUCCAGGCAGGAGAGCCCUGGAGUCCUGGUCCAGCCGAGCAGGGAGCUCGUUUCUGACAGUGGAGCCAUCCCAAGAGCCGCCUAUGCCGUAGCGACCUCUUAGAAGGAGAGAAAACUAAACACCAGGACCGGAAGAAGCAGAGUCCUUCCCACGAGGCCGGCACAGCCUCACUUCUGUCCUGGAAAUGAACCAGCUGUGAGUGGACAUUGCCCAGUGCAGUGACUAGGUGGAGGUCUGCUGUGCGGAGGAAGGCUGUCCAGACCUGGGGAUGGAGAGAGCAAAGCCGACUGAGCUCCGGGGGCCUCACCCGUGGCUGGGAUGGCCCUUGGCCCCCAGGAGAGCCGGGGGCAGUGUCCUGCGCUGCCCUGCUGGCCUCCUGACUCCUGACCCGGACCAUCCUCAAGAGAGAGAAAUAGUUUGUUUUUGUGUGUUUUUUAGAAAUUUUCACUGGAGUAUAGUUGAUUUACAAUGUCUAUUAGUUUCUGCUAUACAGCCAAGUGACUCGGUUAUACAUAUAAAAUGUUCACUUUUUCAGAUUUUUUUCCCUUUUAGAUGAUCUCAGAGUGUUGAGUUGAGCUCCAUCUGCUGCAGAGUGGGUCCUUAGUAGCCAUAGCUUCUAUGUACAGCAGUGUGUAUAUGCCAACCCUAACCCCCCAGUCUCUCUCUCCCUCCGCACACCCUGGG
Capra hircus (goat) is the source of this 942-nucleotide long non-coding RNA. The record is from Ensembl. NCBI's taxonomy places the organism in Eukaryota, Metazoa, Chordata, Mammalia, Artiodactyla, Bovidae.